AUAGUGCAUUCAGAAUGCAAUUGGAAUGAGUGUAAUGCAAAUGACUUAGAGAAAAACAUUUGGAGGGCAAGCUUGGUCCCAGCAGGCACGGUAAUACCAAUUCUAA
Molecule: non-coding RNA, 106 nt
Filed under: Metschnikowia bicuspidata var. bicuspidata NRRL YB-4993
Lineage: Eukaryota; Fungi; Ascomycota; Pichiomycetes; Serinales; Metschnikowiaceae
Source: Rfam by way of RNAcentral